This 1821-nucleotide ribosomal RNA is filed under the name Brassica rapa (field mustard). RNAcentral describes it as "SSU rRNA". The stretch from base 332 to 1821 matches the Rfam family "Eukaryotic small subunit ribosomal RNA". Lineage: Eukaryota; Viridiplantae; Streptophyta; Magnoliopsida; Brassicales; Brassicaceae. The record is from RNAcentral.
AAUGAUAUUUGUAUAGUCUAAGUGUCUAACACUGCAUGAGUACUGAACUCAGCGUAUAUAUAUGGUUAACUAGGGAUUGGUUGUUGACUUGUUUUUAUGCAGGUUCCCGUUACUUGAAGCUAGAUCAUGGCAGAGGCCAAGUCUAACUUAGUAACGGUUUGUUUAAAUUUUAGCUUUUAUUGCAUGCUAGGGCUAGAUUGAUUGUUAUUUUGGGUUGUCUGGGUAGAGUCUAGGUUGCGGGUAGAGGUCGCCAGCUCACUGAGUAACAUUAGGUUACUCAUCCAACUCCGUUGUCCCUUUUGCAGGUCGCUUUUAGGUAAGGAUGAUCGGAUAGCUUGGUGCUGGACGUUAGGACCGCCGGUGUAGAUUUUCAUGCCUUUUGUAAACGGUAUUGUGGAUUUGUGUUUAGUUGACUCAAUUUGGCAUUAGGCCGGGACCGGUCUCGAAUUAUAUCAAUGUAUGGAUAUUUCUAGAAUCAAUAAAGUAAUUGUUUUAUAUGCGCUUCAUGAGUACUCUGAUAUAUGACUAGUCCGGUCUAACACAACGUUAGGUCGUAGUACGGGUUGAAAAGCCUUAGACCUCGAUCUAACGGAUAACGCUAACUCUAGGUAUGGGUUGCAAAGCCUUGUGCCUUGACGCAGCGGGACGAGUUAGUGGAUGAACUGGUCUAGGUGUGGAGUAAAUCUUGUGACUCUGACCGGAUCAUCCCUAACCCGUCACGUAGCGCUUCCGGACCAUGGUGCUUGGUUGGACGGUCAGUCAUGUUCUUGUUUGAUUGUUGGCUGGCCGGUUGGCUCAUUCAUCUCUAACCCUGGAUGUUGGACGGUCGAUCGGUCAUGUUCUUGUUUGAUUGUUGGCCGGUUGAUCGACCAUAUGUCUAGGACGGUUCGGGGGUGUUACAGUCGGGGGCAUUCGUAUUUCAUAGUCAGAGGUGAAAUUCUUGGAUUUAUGAAAGACGAACAACUGCGAAAGCAUUUGCCAAGGAUGUUUUCAUUAAUCAAGAACGAAAGUUGGGGGCUCGAAGACGAUCAGAUACCGUCCUAGUCUCAACCAUAAACGAUGCCGACCAGGGAUCAGCGGAUGUUGCUUUUAGGACUCCGCUGGCACCUUAUGAGAAAUCAAAGUUUUUGGGUUCCGGGGGGAGUAUGGUCGCAAGGCUGAAACUUAAAGGAAUUGACGGAAGGGCACCACCAGGAGUGGAGCCUGCGGCUUAAUUUGACUCAACACGGGAAACUUACCAGGUCCGACAUAGUAAGGAUUGACAGAUCGAGAGCUCUUUCUUGAUUCUAUGGGUGGUGGUGCAUGGCCGUUCUUAGUUGGUGGAGCGAUUUGUCUGGUUAAUUCCGUUAACGAAACGAGACCUCAGCCUGCUAACUAGCUACACGGAGGCAUCCCUUCACGGCCGGCUUUUAGAGGGACUAUGGCCGUUUAGGCCAAGGAAGUUUGAGGCAAUAACAGGUCCGUGAUGCCCUUAGAUGUUCGGGGUCGCGACGCUACACUGAUGUAUUCAACGAAGUUCACACCUUGGCCGACAGGCCCGGUAAUCUUUGAAAUUUCAUCGUGAUGGGGAUAGAUCAUUGCAAUUGUUGGUCUUCAACGAGGAAUUCCUAGUAAGCGAAGUCAUCAGCUCGCGUUGACUACGCCCCGCCCUUUGUACACACCGCCCGCCGCUCCUACCGAUUGAAUGAUCCGGUGAAGUGUUCGGAUCGCGGCGACGCAUGGGUGGUUCGCCGUCCGCGACGCCGCGAGAAGUCCACUAAACCUUAUCAUUUAGAGGAAGGAGAAGUCGAACAAGGUUUCCGUAGGGUGAACCUGCGGAAG